This 448-nucleotide ribosomal RNA is filed under the name uncultured bacterium. Its description in RNAcentral is "SSU rRNA". It matches the Rfam family "Bacterial small subunit ribosomal RNA", at positions 26 to 518 of the family's 1533-position model. The record is from RNAcentral.
AGAACGAACGCUGGCGGCAUGCCUAACACAUGCAAGUCGAACGCCUGUAGCAAUACAGGAGUGGCGCACGGGUGAGUAACGCGUGGGAACCUACCCUGGAGUGGGGGAUAACCGAGGGAAACUUCGGCUAAUACCUCAUACGACCUGAGGGUGAAAGAUUUAUCGCUCUAGGAGGGGCCCGCGUCGGAUUAGCUAGUUGGUGAGGUAACGGCCCACCAAGGCGAUGAUCCGUAGCUGGUCUGAGAGGAUGAUCAGCCACACUGGGACUGAGACACGGCCCAGACUCCUACGGGAGGCAGCAGUGGGGAAUAUUGGACAAUGGGGGCAACCCUGAUCCAGCAAUGCCGCGUGAGUGAUGAAGGCCUUAGGGUUGUAAAGCUCGUUUCGGCGGGGACGAUGAUGACGGUACCGCAGAAGAACGCCCGGCUAACUUCGCGCCAGCAGCCGC